UACGAAGGGAGCUAGCGUUGUUCGGAAUCACUGGGCGUAAAGCGCACGUAGGCGGAUGUGUCAGUCAGGGGUGAAAUCCCGGAGCUCAACUUCGGAACUGCCUUUGAUACAGCACAUCUGGAGUCCGGAAGAGGUGGGUGGAAUUCCUAGUGUAGAGGUGAAAUUCGUAGAUAUUAGGAAGAACACCGGUGGCGAAGGCAGCUCGCUGGAACGGUACUGACGCUGAGGCGCGAAAGCGUGGGGAGCGAACAGG
RNAcentral lists this ribosomal RNA (253 nucleotides) under uncultured bacterium. Its description in RNAcentral is "partial 16S ribosomal RNA". It matches the Rfam family "Bacterial small subunit ribosomal RNA", at positions 524 to 776 of the family's 1533-position model. The record is from RNAcentral.